GAUGAACGCUAGCGGCGGGCCUAAUACAUGCAAGUCGAACGGGAAAGGUGGCAACACCUUGAGAGUGGCGUACGGGUGCGUAACGCGUAUACAACCUGCCUGUUACACGGGGAUAGCCUUGCGAAAGCGAGAUUAAUACCCGAUGGUACUAUUGAGCGGCAUCGCUUGGUAGUUAAAGCUGAGGCGGUAACAGAGGGGUAUGCGUCCCAUUAGCUAGUUGGUAGUGUAACGGACUACCAAGGCGACGAUGGGUAGGGGUUCUGAGAGGAUGAUCCCCCACACUGGUACUGAGAUACGGACCAGAAUCCUACGGGAGGCAGCAGUAGGGAAUAUUGGGCAAUGGACGGAAGUCUGACCCAGCCACGCCGCGUGCAGGAAGAAGGUCCUCUGGAUUGUAAACUGCUUUUCUUGGGGAAGAAAACCCUUCUGCGGAAGGAAUUGACGGUACUCAAGGAAUAAGCAUCGGCUAACUCCGUG
RNAcentral lists this ribosomal RNA (477 nucleotides) under uncultured bacterium. Its description in RNAcentral is "partial 16S ribosomal RNA". It matches the Rfam family "Bacterial small subunit ribosomal RNA", at positions 28 to 507 of the family's 1533-position model. The record is from RNAcentral.